This is a long non-coding RNA of Alligator mississippiensis (American alligator), 437 nucleotides long. RefSeq lists it as uncharacterized. NCBI's taxonomy places the organism in Eukaryota, Metazoa, Chordata, Crocodylia, Alligatoridae. The record is from RefSeq and is a predicted model, not a curated record. The transcript has 2 exons.
CUCAGGGGAAGGAGUUCUCCGGGUUCUGCCUCUGGGCGCCGCCAUGUUGUACGGAAAUCGCCUCUGGCGCAGGGGCUUGGACCGGGUUUCUCUAGGAGCUGCUUAGAAGGUGGAGCAGAAAAUGCAAGAGAUGGUGGAGACUGGAGGGAUCUGUGUGGAACGGCUCCAUCUGGGAACUGGCCACCUGAUCCUGCAGUGGAGAUGUCCCACUCUUGAGGGAGGAGGCUUAGGGGGAGGAGAGGGAUCCACCUGCUGAAGAAGACCAUACCAAUCACCCUUUGGGCACUGAGACUGAGUCUCCCUGUGAAAUGGAGACAAGACUUAGUAAUUCAGGGAGAUAAUCGCUGGACAUGUCGCUGGCUGGGAAUGUGGUGGACAUGAGAAGGGAAAGCCCUUGUAGGAAAUCUCUUAAUUAUAAACUUGGUUGGUGUGUGGGA